RNAcentral lists this ribosomal RNA (466 nucleotides) under uncultured bacterium. Its description in RNAcentral is "partial 16S ribosomal RNA". It matches the Rfam family "Bacterial small subunit ribosomal RNA", at positions 29 to 507 of the family's 1533-position model. The record is from RNAcentral.
AUGGACGCUGGCGGCGUGCUUAACACAUGCAAGUCGAACGAUGAUGCCCAGCUUGCUGGGUGGAUUAGUGGCGAACGGGUGAGUAACACGUGAGUAACCUGCCCUUGACUCUGGGAUAAGCCUGGGAAACUGGGUCUAAUACCGGAUACGACCAUCUGGCGCAUGUCAUGGUGGUGGAAAGCUUUUGUGGUUUUGGAUGGACUCGCGGCCUAUCAGCUUGUUGGUGGGGUAAUGGCCUACCAAGGCGACGACGGGUAGCCGGCCUGAGAGGGUGACCGGCCACACUGGGACUGAGACACGGCCCAGACUCCUACGGGAGGCAGCAGUGGGGAAUAUUGCACAAUGGGCGCAAGCCUGAUGCAGCGACGCCGCGUGAGGGAUGACGGCCUUCGGGUUGUAAACCUCUUUCAGUAGGGAAGAAGCGAAAGUGACGGUACCUGCAGAAGAAGCGCCGGCUAACUACGUG